UGAUUUCUGCCACCGGGUAGAGAAUGUAUCAAAAACAUUCGUAUGUACAUCGUUAGGUCAUAGAAGAUGUACAGGCGGAUGUUUUUUUGUU
RNAcentral lists this non-coding RNA (91 nucleotides) under unclassified sequences. The record is from RNAcentral.